GGACCAAUGAUGACUUACAAAAAUGAAUCUUGUUGGAUUCUGAACAAAAUGAGUGACCAAACCACUUCUGUGAGCUGAGGUCU
Small nucleolar RNA from Ictidomys tridecemlineatus (thirteen-lined ground squirrel), 83 nucleotides. Its record names the gene SNORD116. It matches the Rfam family "Small nucleolar RNA SNORD116". Rfam says of the family: HBII-85 is a member of the C/D class of snoRNAs, which contain the C (UGAUGA) and D (CUGA) box motifs. HBII-85 is encoded in a tandemly repeated array with another C/D snoRNA, HBII-52, in the Prader-Willi syndrome (PWS) region of chromosome 15. The record is from Ensembl. NCBI's taxonomy places the organism in Eukaryota, Metazoa, Chordata, Mammalia, Rodentia, Sciuridae.